GCAUCGAUGAAGAACGCAGCGAAAUGCGAUAAGUAGUGUGAAUUGCAGAAUUCAGUGAAUCAUCGAAUCUUUGAACGCACAUUGCGCCCCUUGGUAUUCCAUGGGGCAUGCCUGUUCGAGCGUCAUUUGUACCUUCAAGCUCUGCUUGGUGUUGGGUGUUUGUCUCGCCUCUGCGUGUAGACUCGCCUUAAAACAAUUGGCAGCCGGCGUAUUGAUUUCGGAGCGCAGUACAUCUCGCGCUUUGCACUCACAACGACGACGUCCAAAAGUACAUUUUUACACUCUUGACCUCGGAUCAGGUAGGGAUACCCGCUGAACUUAAGCAUAUCAAUAAGCGGAGGA
Molecule: ribosomal RNA, 342 nt
Filed under: uncultured fungus
Lineage: Eukaryota; Fungi
Description: eukaryotic LSU rRNA
Rfam family: 5.8S ribosomal RNA (bases 1-125)
Source: RNAcentral